This 258-nucleotide long non-coding RNA is filed under the name Mytilus galloprovincialis (Mediterranean mussel). Lineage: Eukaryota; Metazoa; Mollusca; Bivalvia; Mytilida; Mytilidae. The record is from RNAcentral.
UGUGAGCCAAGGUUCUGUGUUGGAGGCCCUUCUUAGACCUAUAGUUGUUAACUUUUUAUAUAUUGUGACUUGGAUGGAGAGUAGUUUCAUUGGCAUUCAUACCACAUCUUAUUUAUAGAGAUGGAAUGUUAUCAAAUACUGGUACAUCAAUAUCAUACAGUAGAAUAGACAUCAAUGUUAUAACAGGGGGAUCAAUAUAUUUGUUUCCAAGAUCUAGGGACAAGGAUAAAACUAAAUGCUACCUAAGCUACAGCAGGG